Molecule: ribosomal RNA, 155 nt
Filed under: uncultured bacterium
Lineage: Bacteria
Description: partial 16S ribosomal RNA
Rfam family: Bacterial small subunit ribosomal RNA
Source: RNAcentral
UGAGGAAUAUUGGUCAAUGGACGAGGGUCUGAACCAGCCAAGUAGCGUGAAGGAUGACUGCCCUAUGGGUUGUAAACUUCUUUUAUACGGGAAUAAAGUUAGCCACGUGUGGCUUUUUGUAUGUACCGUAUGAAUAAGGAUCGGCUAACUCCGUG